Molecule: unclassified non-coding RNA, 425 nt
Filed under: soil metagenome
Description: partial contains 5.8S ribosomal RNA, internal transcribed spacer 2, and large subunit ribosomal RNA
Rfam family: 5.8S ribosomal RNA (bases 1-120)
Source: RNAcentral
GAUGAAGAACGUAGCGAAAUGCGAUAAGUAGUGUGAAUUGCAGAAUUCCGUGAAUCAUCGAAUCUUUGAACGCACAUUGCGCCUUCUGGUAUUCCGGAAGGCAUGCCUGUUCGAGAGUCAUUAACAACCGUUUCGAUCCCUUUCUUUCAGAAAUUACAAAGAGGAAAAGGGUUUGGUUAUGGUGGAGGAGGGAAAGGGAGCGUUUAGCCUGUAAAAAAAGAGGCUGUGUUCCGCCUCCCCCCCCAAAUUGUACAGGCGGUCGUGUGCGCCCACGCAUCGAGGUGUUGUAAAAGCUGCCACGGCACUUUUCACCUGUGCAGUGCGAGAUUGGCCAGCCGGUUUAAAAACCCCUCCAAACAAUCAAAGGUUGACCUCGGAUCAGGUAGGGAUACCCGCUGAACUUAAGCAUAUCAAUAAGCGGAGGA